AUUAAAAUUUUCGAUUAGAGAUAUUGAUCUUGCUGUAAAUAGUAUAAAGAAUUUUCUAGCGAAAUUGCAUCUGAUUUGAAUACUUCUACACCGUUAAACUUGCAAACGGUAUAUAUUAACCAUUAAAAAUUGUUGAUUUUAAACCCUUUCGAUCUCUAGAUAAAUGAUAUCGAAAAACCGUAAAAAUUAUUUUCUGGACACUUCAAAUAUGUUAAAUCAAGUCUAACGGAGCCGAUUAUCGAUUCGAAAACGGUAUAUAUAUAUAUCGGAAGUAUAGAGGAUUUGAUACUUCCGACCUUUUGACCCAGGAUUGAAUAGUAUUCUUUUAGGGUUGAGUGGUCCCCACAAGGUUGUAAUAUUAAUCCAAAGGUUAGAAAUGAUCUAAGGACCAAAAAGUCAGAAACAUCAGAUACUCUAUACUUCCAAUAGCAUAAUAGCUCUACUCUCUCUCUCUCUCUCUCUCUCUCUCUCUCUCUCUCUCUCUCUAUAUAUAUAUAUAUA
Molecule: long non-coding RNA, 501 nt
Filed under: Ananas comosus (pineapple)
Lineage: Eukaryota; Viridiplantae; Streptophyta; Magnoliopsida; Poales; Bromeliaceae
Description: long non-coding RNA (ACOM_LNC029177)
Source: RNAcentral